UUCACACGAUGCCAAGUGAAGUGCAGUCUGUUUAUAUUUGUUAAGCUUGACUAGCAGGUUUUUGUCUGCAAACUUCCUUAAUAUAAAUCGUACUUCUUCUGUAUUACCGUUUUCGGAUUCUGUGUGAAGGAUAGUUUCUUCGUAUUUGUCCAGUUUAUCAGCAUGCAUCUCCAGUGCAGCUAUGGCAUCAGCAUCUCCCGCAAUGGCAGCUGCAUACAGAGCAUCUUUGUGCAUAAUUUUGUAGAGGCUUCCACCUGGGCUUUCAGCUAUAUACAUAAACAUGUGUCAAAUUGUGUGUAUUUUAGAAAUCAUCAUGACAUUGAAUGUGGUCAAAAAGAAAUUUAACUUAAAAGAAACUAAAUAUAGUUUAAUUAGGUUCCAGCAGUCACUUCUCCGCUUUUCAAUCUUCAUCAUCUUUACUCUCUACUCAUUAAUUAUUUUCGCUCUUCCAUCUCCUCUCUUAUUUAUCAGUUUUAUUAAUAAAAUCAAGAUCUAACCCAUUUUGGGUGAGUUCUUGUUGAGUACUUUGUCAUUAAACCUGUUAGUCGUGGCCAUCUUUUUGGGAUGUUUGUGUUUGUUUUGAUGCUUUUGUGUGUUUUGUUAUGAGUUUCUGUAACUUUUGUAAAAAGGACUUACAUGGUAUUUUGGGUGAUCCGUAAAACUUGCAUUAAAUAUAGUGAAUAUCGCAAGAGUUCACCUUUAACAACAAAAAAUUGUUGAUAUUUUGGGGUCAUUUGUUGAUCCAAUAUCAGUUGAUGUAAAUGAUAAUUUUGAACAUCGGGUUAUAGAUGAUACUUAUGUGAAUGUCAAUUACGAUACUAUAUAUGUUCACAACUGAUAUAGAUUGGACUGCUCGUGAUUUGAUUGUACUUUUCAGAUUAAAAAAAUUAAAUAUUUUUUGUGUUAAGUGAUCUGAGAAAACAAUGCAGCUAUAUGUUUAGCUCAUUUUUUGUUUCAUAAUCAGGUUGUAACUGAUAGUUCGCAGGUUUCUCUCGGCUGAUUUCAGUCAUUUAUGAAAUUCUUGGCUUUUUGUCAAAAAAAAAUAGUUUAAUUAACUAUAGGGUUCGCAUGUAAAGGAAAGAGGCAGAGUCUUUAUAAGGCAUACCUUGGUCGAAAUUCUUGUCACGCACAACGGUACUACAAUCAGGUCCGAGCAAAGAUGGAGCAAAGCAAGUUGUAGAGAUCACCUCUGCUAUACUGUUCAACCCUUGUUCCACAGCUAUGUACAUUGGUGUUUUGCCAUCAUCAUUUUGAAUAUGUGUAUCACUUGGAUCCGCCUCUACUAAUAGCUUAACAAUAGCUAGGUUCCCUUUCUUAACUGCGGCAUGUAAGGCAGUGUCCUCAUUUAGAUCAGAUUGCCUAAGAAACGCUUGAAAAGAAGUAGUUGGAUCUUCUUGAGUGUUAUCAUUAUCUGAAGGAUGCAAAUAUGAAGCUGCGUCGAUGAGGAUCUCAGCCAAUUCAGUGUGUCCAUAUAUUGCUGCCAAGUGAAGUGUAGUUUGUUUCUCUGAAGUCAGCUUAGCCAAAAGAUUUUUUUUUGCAAACUCCCUCAAAAUAACUCGCACACGUUUUGCGUUAGUAGUUUCUUCACCUCGGUUGAGUAUAUCAGCUUGCGUCUCCAAUUUAGCUAUGGCAUAAGCAUCUCCCGCAAUGGCAGCCACAAAGAAAGCAUAUCUAUCCAUAAUUUUAAAUAGAGUUCCACCAGGGCUCUUACCUGUAAUGUGUGUAUAUGUCAAGAAAAUUCUAGCAAAAUAUUAAAGAUAAAGGAUUUAGAAUAAAAGAAAAAAACAAGUACCAGAAGAGUCUUUAAAAAGCACCACAGUACUACCAUCAGGUCCGUCCAAAGACGGAGCUUUGCAAGUUGUAGAGAUAAUCUCUGCAAUAUGGUUGAGCCCGUUUUCCACAGCUAUGUACAUUGGUGUUUUACCAUCAUUGUUUUGAAUAUGUGUAUCAGUGGGAUCGGCUUCUACUAGUCGCUUAACAAUAGUGGCAUUUCCUCUCAACACUGCUGCAUGUAAGGCGGUGUCCAUAUCUUUAUCACCUUGCCUGACAAAAGCUUGAAAAGAAGUAAGUUUCGGAUUAUGAUCAUCAUCUGAAGGAGGUGGCAAAUCGCAAGCUGCAUCAAUGAGGACCUCAGCCACUUCAGUUUGGCCUUCAUAUAUAGCCAAGUGAAGUGCUGUAUGCUUAUAUCUACUAAGCUUCGCCAAAAGAUUUUUGUGUGCAAAUUUCCUCAAAAUGAAUUUCACACGUUCUGUAUUUCCCUUCUCUGAUUGCAGGUGAAGGAUAGUUUCUUCGAAUCGGUACAGUCUAUCAGCUUCUAUCUCCAAUUCAGCAGUGGCAGCAGCAUCUCCGGCCAUGGCAGCAUCGAACAGAGUAUCCAGAUCCAUAACUAUAUUUUAC
This 2397-nucleotide long non-coding RNA is filed under the name Daucus carota (carrot). RNAcentral describes it as "long non-coding RNA (DCAR_LNC001036)". Lineage: Eukaryota; Viridiplantae; Streptophyta; Magnoliopsida; Apiales; Apiaceae. The record is from RNAcentral.